This 92-nucleotide microRNA precursor is filed under the name Tursiops truncatus (common bottlenose dolphin). RNAcentral's name for it is "miRNA (ENSTTRG00000022051.1)". Lineage: Eukaryota; Metazoa; Chordata; Mammalia; Artiodactyla; Delphinidae. The record is from RNAcentral.
CGGAGGACUUGGGGCUGGUCACGCUGCGGCCAGCAACUGAAGCUGGAGGGGUUCUGUCCAGACCAGGAGCAGGGAGCGCGGGGCUGCUGGGG